GACGAACGCUGGCGGCGUGCCUAAUACAUGCAAGUCGAACGCUUUUUCUUUCACCGGAGCUUGCUCCACCGAAAGAAAAAGAGCGGCGAACGGGUGAGUAACACGUGGGUAACCUGCCCAUCAGAAGGGGAUGACACUUGGAAAGAGGUGCUAAUACCGUAUAACACUAUUUUCCGCAUGGAAGAAAGUUGAAAGGUGCGUUUACGUCACUGAUGGAUGGACCCGCGGUGCAUUAGCUAGUUGGUGAGGUAACGGCUCACCAAGGCAACGAUGCAUAGCCGACCUGAGAGGGUGAUCGGCCACACUGGGACUGAGAAACGGCCCAGACUCCUACGGGAGGCAGCAGUAGGGAAUCUUCGGAAAUGGACGAAAGUCUGACCGAGCAACGCCGCGUGAGUGAAGAAGGUUUUCGGAUCGUAAAACUCUGUUGUUAGAGAAGAACAAGGAUGAGAGUAAAAUGUUCAUCCCUUGACGGUAUCUAACCAGAAAGCCACGGCUAACUACGUGCCAGCAGCCGCGGUAA
This 523-nucleotide ribosomal RNA is filed under the name uncultured bacterium. Its description in RNAcentral is "partial 16S ribosomal RNA". It matches the Rfam family "Bacterial small subunit ribosomal RNA", at positions 28 to 523 of the family's 1533-position model. The record is from RNAcentral.